CAUUCAAAUUUCUGCCCUAUCACCUUUCGACGGNACUGUAGUGGACUACCGUGGCAUUAACGGGUGACGGANAAUUANGGUUCGAUUCCGGAUAGGGAGCCUGAAAAACGGCUACCACAUCCAAGGAAGGCAGCAGGCGCGCAAAUUACCCAAUCCUGACACAGGGAGGUANUGACAAAAAAUAACAAUACCGGGCCUUUUUAGGUCUGGUAAUUGGAAUGAGUACAAUUUAAAUCCCUUAACGAGUAUCCAUUGAAGGGCAAGUCUGGUGCCANCANCCGCGGUAAUUCCAGCUCCNAUAGCGUAUAUUAAANUUGCUGCNUUAAAAAGCUCGUAGUUGGAUUUCUGGNUUGANACAUUUUGCCGGCCACNGNUUCNUGUGUUAGUGC
Molecule: ribosomal RNA, 389 nt
Filed under: uncultured fungus
Lineage: Eukaryota; Fungi
Description: partial 18S ribosomal RNA
Rfam family: Eukaryotic small subunit ribosomal RNA
Source: RNAcentral